Long non-coding RNA from Herpailurus yagouaroundi (jaguarundi), 1238 nucleotides. RefSeq lists it as uncharacterized. Lineage: Eukaryota; Metazoa; Chordata; Mammalia; Carnivora; Felidae. The record is from RefSeq and is a predicted model, not a curated record. The transcript is spliced from 2 exons.
AAUUCCCUAUAGGUAAAUAACAGAUAACGGUCUUUGGAGAUUUGCUUAUGAAAUAAUAGGCGCUUAAUACACCUGAUAAGUGAAAACAAAUUUUCAUCGCUGUUCUAAAUAUUCUGGCGGUUCACAGGAAAGGAAGUGUUUACAGAUUUACAAAACGGGCUUUAAGCACCCUUGGAGGAUGGCAUUGUGUCCUUGGCCCAUCAAUCAGAGGACCUGUGGCCUUGGGGAGGAGGAGGACCAUCCUAGGAGGGGUGCAGGGAGACAGAGAGCCAGGUGUCGGCUUCUGGUCUGAAAAAUGGUCUCCAGAAGAAGGGAGAUCUUCAAGUCUACCCACAAACAGGUAGGUUAAAACAAAACUAAACGAAGAGCUAAUCACUUGGCCCUAAGGAAAGGAUUGAGGCCAUCUUGUCUGUGAACGAGGGAGUUUUUAAGGGCUUGAAAAGGGAGGCCCGGAGGCCUGGUGAAGCUGGGAGAACCACACUGGGGGAGAGGACAGUUUCAGAGACAGCUUGGCUUUGCCGUGUGCCCCAGGGAGCUGAGGUGCAGGCAGGCCUGAGCCAGCAGAUUAGCCCUAACUAUCCCUGUCAGUUAGCCUCUGUAUUAUUAGUCUGCUCAGGCUGCCAUAACAAAAUACCACCCACCGGGUGUGGCUUACACGACAGAAAUUUAUUUCCCAUGCUUCUGGAGCCUAGAAGUCCAAGAUCAAGGUGUCACCGAGAUGGUCUCUCCCAAGGCCUGUCUCCAUGGCUUGCGGACGGCCGCCUUCUCCCUGCGUCCUCAGAUGGCCUUCCCUCCGUACAUAAAUAUAUCUCCCGGGGUCUCUCCUGCUUCUUUCACGGACACUAGUCAUAGGGGAUUAAGGCCCCACCCUGGUGACCUCAUUUAACCUUAAUUAUCUCUUUAUAGGCCCAGUCUCCAAAAACAGUCACAUUCUGAGGUGCGCUGCAGACCUUGAAGAAGAAAUCUUGGUCAAAGAUGUGCUGUGCCUGGAAAACAGAGCAGCAAGGAGCCUUCAGGGACCAGAGGUUCACUCUCUUCCUUCCAAAGGAAGGGAGUCCUGAAGAAGGUAAGUGGUUUCCUCGGGACUGACACACAGGCAUCUUGGCUCGAAGUGGAAUCUCUUUUUGGGAGAAAGAGACAUGAGCCCACGAAUGAGCUGGGUCCACCUCGGUUUCUUCUUUGGGCUCCCAUGUAGAGAGCAACGUUGAUUUAAGCCCCAAUAAAUGAAGAUGCCUGUC